AUUGAACGCUGGCGGCAUGCCUUACACAUGCAAGUCGAACGGCAGCACGGGUGCUUGCACCUGGUGGCGAGUGGCGAACGGGUGAGUAAUACAUCGGAACAUGUCCUGUAGUGGGGGAUAGCCCGGCGAAAGCCGGAUUAAUACCGCAUACGAUCUACGGAUGAAAGCGGGGGACCUUCGGGCCUCGCGCUAUAGGGUUGGCCGAUGGCUGAUUAGCUAGUUGGUGGGGUAAAGGCCUACCAAGGCGACGAUCAGUAGCUGGUCUGAGAGGACGACCAGCCACACUGGGACUGAGACACGGCCCAGACUCCUACGGGAGGCAGCAGUGGGGAAUUUUGGACAAAGGGCGAAAGCCUGAUCCAGCAAUGCCGCGUGUGUGAAGAAGGCCUUCGGGUUGUAAAGCACUUUUGUCCGGAAAGAAAUCCUUGGCCCUAAUACGGUCGGGGGAUGACGGUACCGGUAGAAUAAGCACCGGCUAACUACGUG
This 486-nucleotide ribosomal RNA is filed under the name uncultured bacterium. Its description in RNAcentral is "partial 16S ribosomal RNA". It matches the Rfam family "Bacterial small subunit ribosomal RNA", at positions 30 to 507 of the family's 1533-position model. The record is from RNAcentral.